ACAAAAUAAAAUUUAUUUCCUCCAUAUUUAUAAAACAUUUUAAAAACUUUUAAUCUCAUAAUCACCAUCUCUCACUUUAAUUUCUUAUCCCUAUAAACUCCUAAUCACUUUCGCGAUCUACCUUACGUAAUAAUUCUAUUUUCUCAAUACCAAUUUUAUAAAAACACAACCCUAAUUCCUAUAAAUCCCCAAACAAAUAAA
This 201-nucleotide unclassified non-coding RNA is filed under the name Hevea brasiliensis (rubber tree). The record is from RNAcentral. Lineage: Eukaryota; Viridiplantae; Streptophyta; Magnoliopsida; Malpighiales; Euphorbiaceae.